Molecule: non-coding RNA, 1276 nt
Organism: Chiloscyllium plagiosum (whitespotted bambooshark)
Lineage: Eukaryota; Metazoa; Chordata; Chondrichthyes; Orectolobiformes; Hemiscylliidae
Source: RefSeq, a predicted model, not a curated record
GUCAGGCAGCAUCCGAGGAGCAGGAGAGUCAACGUUUCGGGAUGAAGGGCUUAAGCAUCCGAGGAGCACGCGAGUCGAUAUUCCUGAUGAAGUGAGCUGCAGCCAGCUCAGUCUGGCCUUGAACUGGACUACUGACUGCUUGCUUCUGUGAGCAAAAAUAUACACAAAUUACACCAAAGACACCACCCCAACCUCCACUUGAUGACAAUGUGAUAUACUUGGGAUUUUCCAAACAGAGCCCUUUAGGUGCUCUGUGAUUAGAUACCAAUUUCAUCAAGACGCCAUGCUGCUGAUUGUAAGGAGGCGCAUGUGAGCGGUUUGGGGUAUUGUCUUUCCACCUGUUUCUAACCUAACUUAACUUUCUUUUAUACAAUUGAUGUUGUAACAUAUCUUCCCUUAAUAAAGGGAAGCUUGAGGUCUGUGUUUGGGAUUCAAAGUUAAAAUAUCAGAAUCGCGCUUUGUAUAGUCCAGGGAAGUCCAUAUUUUCGAAUGGAGGAGUACGAUUACAUUCUUUUGUUAUUUCAAGGGGACAAUGAGAGAAUUUCAGAAAGGUAUACUUUGGCACAACAUUAAGCAUGAAUUUUUUAGAAAAUCAACUUCAAAAUUUAUUUAAAGUAUCGUAUGAUUUUAUAAGAAAAAGACAUGACUAUUAAAAGGCAGAGCUAGCCAAUAAGACCUUGUUUUGCCUUUUUGCUUAAACAAAGCUAGAGGCAGAUAGAUUAGCUCACAGGUUGGUUAUUGGUCAAAGCUAAGGAGUUGGCUUUAACCAACUUUGGUCAUGCAUUUGCCUUUAGUGGAGCACUGGCUGAGCUGGCCUUGGUAGAAUUCGUGUGAAAGUUGGAGAUGGUUUCGCUUUGAGCCAGGACUCCCUUCCUGACCCAUUGAUAAAUAAGCGUUUAGGGAGGGAGGAGGAGGAAACAAAGGAUGUGUGUGUUUUUGGCUAACUGCAGUGUCUUGCAUUCACUUGUGCACACUCUCACAACUGCCCACGUAGUUUUCACAGCUUACUGAAUAAAGAACGAUACAGCACAGGAACAAGCCCUUCAGCCCUCCAAGCUUGUCCUGACAUACUUUCCCCUUGCAUACUAAAACUGUCUUCACGUACAGGAUCCAUAUCCCUCAAUUCCCUACUUAUUCAUGUAUUCGUCCAGGUGCAUCUUAAAUGCUUUUAUUGUGUUGCUUCCACCACUACCCCUGGCAAUGUGUUUCAGCACUCCCCAUCCUUUUGUGUGAAAAACAUACCUCGCAUAUCUCAUUUAAACUCUUCCCUCCCCCC